RNAcentral lists this unclassified non-coding RNA (353 nucleotides) under soil metagenome. Its description in RNAcentral is "partial contains 5.8S ribosomal RNA, internal transcribed spacer 2, and large subunit ribosomal RNA". The stretch from base 1 to 120 matches the Rfam family "5.8S ribosomal RNA", at positions 35 to 154 of the family's 154-position model. The record is from RNAcentral.
GAUGAAGAACGCAGCGAAAUGCGAUAAGUAAUGUGAAUUGCAGAAUUCAGUGAAUCAUCGAAUCUUUGAACGCACAUUGCGCCCGCCAGUAUUCUGGCGGGCAUGCCUGUUCGAGCGUCAUUACAACCCUCAGGUCCCCGGGCCUGGCGUUGGGGAUCGGCGGAAGCCCCCUGCGGGCACAACGCCGUCCCCCAAAUACAGUGGCGGUCCCGCCGCAGCUUCCAUUGCGUAGUAGCUAACACCUCGCAACUGGAGAGCGGCGCGGCCACGCCGUAAAACACCCAACUUCUGAAUGUUGACCUCGAAUCAGGUAGGAAUACCCGCUGAACUUAAGCAUAUCAAUAAGCGGAGGA